Schizosaccharomyces pombe (fission yeast) is the source of this 345-nucleotide non-coding RNA. Lineage: Eukaryota; Fungi; Ascomycota; Schizosaccharomycetes; Schizosaccharomycetales; Schizosaccharomycetaceae. The record is from the annotation of a GenBank genome assembly.
GAAACAGAAUGGAGAAAUAUCUAAGAUGUUUAUUACCUUGUUUUCGUUAUACCAUGAGUAUAAUGCUGCUAAAAGGUAAGAUGAUUUGAUAUUUAUAAAUUAAUUAUAAUCAAACACUUUUUGUUACGUGUUGCUAUCAUUAUUGAUUAAUAACAUCGUAUUUUCUGUAAGCUUAAAAAUCUAGUUUCGUUUUGAAUUAGAUUAAAAAUAAAGACUACAAAUUAUCUGCUUUUUGCAAAGCUUUUUGCUUAAUAGUUGCGCCGUUUGAUUUAACAAUUGUCGCUUUUAUAAAUAGUUUGAAAUUCAAAAUGGAGCAUAUGUUUCAUAAUUAUUUUGCUGAACUUU